Long non-coding RNA from Leopardus geoffroyi (Geoffroy's cat), 414 nucleotides. RefSeq lists it as uncharacterized. The record is from RefSeq and is a predicted model, not a curated record. The transcript is spliced from 3 exons. NCBI's taxonomy places the organism in Eukaryota, Metazoa, Chordata, Mammalia, Carnivora, Felidae.
UCCCCAGUUAAUCCAUCUUGAGUCAAUUUGGUUCUUUGCCCAGAGAGAAGGACCUUGAAGGGCAGAGGAAAUUCUUCUUCAACAGCUGACAUAGUCAGUAGGAUACUUUAACUCACUAGACACCACUGCAAUGGAGAUCCUUGGGACAUCUGACAUACACCUGGCAGAAGAUUUAAAAAAAAAAAAAAAAAACUUUUUCUCUUAAAUGACUUAGAGCAAUUUGAUAGAAUACUACCACUGGAACAAAUUGAAACUUGCAUCUUUUUCUCUACCUGAACCCUCCAGAAUUCAGAAAUUCUCAGAGAGGAAUAUACAUUAGAUGCCCACAUCCUGACUAGCAAGAGCACGGACACGCUUCAGGAGGAUAAAAUCAGCAGAAGGUAGCAAAGACUGUGGUCAAACACCUGCAGUGCC